RNAcentral lists this non-coding RNA (127 nucleotides) under Leptothrix cholodnii. Its description in RNAcentral is "ZTP sequence". It matches the Rfam family "ZMP/ZTP riboswitch aptamer (pfl RNA motif)". From Rfam's summary of the family: Previously known as pfl RNA. Lineage: Bacteria; Pseudomonadati; Pseudomonadota; Betaproteobacteria; Burkholderiales; Sphaerotilaceae. The record is from RNAcentral. RNAcentral also lists the same sequence under 1 other name.
UCGACACCACGCAACUGGCGUUCAAGGGCCUGCGCAAUGCAGGCCUGAGGUGGGCAACCACCAGGGAGCGUGGACCACAACGGCUGUCGAGCCUUGUCGGUUUUAGCCGUGCGCCUGGGCAGCCCCA